UAGUCAUAUGCUUGUCUCAAAGAUUAAGCCAUGCAUGUCUAUGCACAAGCCGAUUAAUGGUGAAGCCGCGAAUGGCUCAUUACAACAGCCACUGUUUACUUGAUCUUGAUUAUCCUACUUGGAUAACUGUGGUAAUUCUAGAGCUAAUACACGCAAUAAAGCUCCGACCUUACGGGACGAGCGCAUUUAUUAGACCAAAACCAAUCGGGCUUCGGCCUGAGACGUUGGUGACUCUGAAUAACUGAGCUGAUCGCAUGGUCUUUGUACCGGCGACGCAUCUUUCAAAUUUCUGCCCUAUCAACUUUCGAUUGUAGGAUAGAGGCCUACAAUGGUUUUAACGGGUAACGGAGAAUUAGGGUUCGAUUCCGGAGAGGGAGCCUGAGAAAUGGCUACCACUUCCAAGGAAGGCAGCAGGCGCGCAAAUUACCCACUCUCGGCACGAGGAGGUAGUGACGAAAAAUAACGAGGCGGUUCUCUAUGAGGCCCGCUAUCGGAAUGGGUACAAUUUAAACCCUUUAACGAGGACCUAUGAGAGGGCAAGUCUGGUGCCAGCAGCCGCGGUAAUUCCAGCUCUCAAGGUGUAUAUCGCCAUUGCUGCGGUUAAAAAGCUCGUAGUUGGGUCUGCGCCUUCGGACUCGGUCCGCCCAACGGGUGUGAACUGGGAUCCAAGGCUUAUACUGCUGGUUUUCCCUUGAUGCUCUUUACUGGGUGUCUUGGGUGGCUAGCGAGUUUACUUUGAAAAAAUUAGAGUGCUUAACACAGGCUAACGCCUGAAUACUUGUGCAUGGAAUAAUAGAAUAAGACCACGGUUCUAUUUUAUUGGUUUUCGGAACUGUGAUAAUGGUUAAGAGGGACAGACGGGGGCAUUCGUAUCGCUGCGUGAGAGGUGAAAUUCUUGGACCGCAGCGAGACGCCCUACUGCGAAAGCAUUUACCGAGGAUGUUUUCAUUAAUCAAGAACGAAAGUUAGGGGACCGAAGAUGAUUAGAUACCAUCGUAGUCUUAACCAUAAACUAUGCCGACUAGGGAUUGGUGGACGUUUGUAACGACUCCAUCAGCACCUUAUGAGAAAUCAAAGUCUUUGGGUUCCGGGGGGAGUAUGGUCGCAAGGCUGAAACUUAAAGAAAUUGACGGAAGGGCACCACCAGGAGUGGAGCCUGCGGCUUAAUUCGACUCAACACGGG
Molecule: ribosomal RNA, 1183 nt
Filed under: Nematoda environmental sample
Lineage: Eukaryota; Metazoa; Nematoda
Description: partial 18S ribosomal RNA
Rfam family: Eukaryotic small subunit ribosomal RNA
Source: RNAcentral